Molecule: long non-coding RNA, 1095 nt
Filed under: Fragaria vesca (wild strawberry)
Lineage: Eukaryota; Viridiplantae; Streptophyta; Magnoliopsida; Rosales; Rosaceae
Description: long non-coding RNA (FVES_LNC005057)
Source: RNAcentral
ACGGAACAUUUACAUAACACUAGGUAAACAAGUUAUACAACAUUAGUAUGCAUGUUGUGAUUGUGAUGAUCAAACUUGAGAAAAAUAAUUCCGACCGUCAGAUCUGACCAUCAUGACAAAAUACAUGUAUGGGAAAAAAUUCAACUUGAUCCGACAAGAAUAGGGGCUCGAUCCGGACGGUCAAUCUCGUAAGUCAAACCCCUAAACGCACGGAAAAGGUCGUUCGACCAUCUAAAUUAAGUAUUUUGGCCGGACCUCCAACUGAAAAUAGUUUUAAAUCGAUGACACGCAAUAAGUCGUAUAAAAAUUUUACGCAAAAUAACCACCGAAUAUAGGGCUACUCAUAGGGGAAAGAAUGAAAAAUUGCAUUGACCGCAACUAUCGGCACCGAAUAUUUACCGGAAUAGUGUGAUUUUUCAACCGUGGAUGUAUUUCAACAUUCUCGUCAUAUCUUAUUUCAUGACUUUUUGGCGUUUGAAGGUUUUACGUAUAGUUUCUUUUUGAAACGGAACAUUUACAUAACACUUGGUAAACAAGUUAUACAACAUUAGUAUGCAUGUUGUGAUUAUGAUGAUCAAACUUGAGAAAAAUAAAUCCGACCGUCAGAUCUGACCAUCAUAACAAAAUACAUGUAUGGGAAAAAAUUCAACUUGAUCCGACAAGAAUAGGGGCUCGAUCCAGACGGUCAAUCUCAUAAGUCAAACUCCUAAACGCAUGGAAAAGGUCGUUCGACCGUCUAAAUUACGUAUUUUGGCCGGACCUACAACUGAAAAUAGUUUCAAACCGAUGAGACGCAAGAAGUCGUCUAAAAAUUUUACGGAAAAUAACAACCGAAGAUAGGGCUAUAGUAGGUAAUAGAAAAAUUUUAGGGUUUAGCCGACGAAUACCCUAACGUAUUCGUCGGCUAUAGUAUGUAAUUAAAAAAUAAAAAAAUAACUAAAGCCGACGAAAUAUUAGGUUAUUCGUCGGCUAAAACUUUAUUAGCCGACGAAAUACACUAUAAUUCGUCGGCUAAGAUGGUUUUAACCGACGAAAUAUACUAUAUUUCGUCGGCUAAGAUGGCUUUAGCCGACGAAAUACACUAUAAUUCGUCGG